GGGGUUGUGGCUCAGUGGUAGAGCUCUUGCCUAGCAUGUGUGAAGCAUGGAGUUCAAUCCUCAACUCCA
RNAcentral lists this transfer RNA (69 nucleotides) under Urocitellus parryii (Arctic ground squirrel). RNAcentral's name for it is "Spermophilus parryii (Arctic ground squirrel) tRNA". It matches the Rfam family "tRNA". Rfam says of the family: Transfer RNA (tRNA) molecules are approximately 80 nucleotides in length. The record is from Rfam by way of RNAcentral. Lineage: Eukaryota; Metazoa; Chordata; Mammalia; Rodentia; Sciuridae. RNAcentral also lists the same sequence under 2 other names.